AUUGAUAACCUACCUUUGAGACGGGGAUAACAACGUUCCGCAAGGGACUCCCGAAAGGGUUGCUAAUACCCGAUAAAACUCAUGGUGCUUCGGUAUCGGGAGUCAAAGGUUUGGGGCUGAAAGGUUCCAUAUGCUCAGAGAGGGGUCAAUGUCCUAUCAGCUAGUUGGCAGGGUAAAGGCCUACCAAGGCGAAGACGGGUAGCCGGCCUGAGAGGGUGGUCGGCCACAUUGGGACUGAGACACUGCCCGGACUCCUACGGGAGGCUGCAGUCGAGAAUCUUUCGCAAUGCCCGGAAGGGUGACGAAGCGACGCCGCGUGUGGGAAGAAGGCCUUCGGGUUGUAAACCACUGUCGGGAGUUAAGAAGUGUAAGGGGGUGAAUAGCCCUCUUACUUGACGUUAGCUCCGGAGGAAGCCACGGCUAACUCUGUGCCAGCAGCCGCGGUAAUACAGAGGUGGCAAGCGUUGUUCGGAAUUAUUGGGCGUAAAGAGCACGUAGGCGGCCCUACAAGUCAGCUGUGAAAUCCUUCUGCUCAACGGAAGAACGGCAGUUGAUACUAUAGGGCUGGAGUGCGGG
RNAcentral lists this ribosomal RNA (576 nucleotides) under uncultured bacterium. RNAcentral describes it as "bacterial SSU rRNA". It matches the Rfam family "Bacterial small subunit ribosomal RNA", at positions 117 to 652 of the family's 1533-position model. The record is from RNAcentral.